This 305-nucleotide ribosomal RNA is filed under the name uncultured bacterium. RNAcentral describes it as "bacterial SSU rRNA". It matches the Rfam family "Bacterial small subunit ribosomal RNA", at positions 333 to 655 of the family's 1533-position model. The record is from RNAcentral.
AUGUCCCUACGGGGGGCAGCAGUGGGGAAUAUUGCACAAUGGGGGAAACCCUGAUGCAGCGACGCCGCGUGAGUGAAGAAGUAAUUCGUUAUGUAAAGCUCUAUCAGCAGGGAAGAAAAUGACGGUACCUGAGUAAGAAGCCCCGGCUAACUACGUGCCAGCAGCCGCGGUAAUACGUAGGGGGCAAGCGUUAUCCGGAUUCACUGGGUGUAAAGGGAGCGUAGACGGCGAGACAAGUCUGGAGUGAAAGGCCGGGGCCCAACCCCGGGACUGCUCUGGAAACUGCCUGGCUGGAGUACAGGAGG